AGUGACGCCACGGGUGGGGGAAGCUGGUGCCGCUCCCUCGCAGGCGGCGCCAUUUUGUGUUCCUAUCUGUGGCAGUCGCACGAAUCGUGCGAGUUGGGCAGCGGAGGUAGGACCCUUCGGGAUGGCGGAGAUUUUGUCAGGCGCAGGCGAUUCCAGUUCUGUCACGGCAGGGCUCAGCUCCGCCUCCUCAGAGACCGGGACCCGGCGGCUAAGCGAUCUGCGGGUGAUUGACCUCCGGGCCGAGCUGAAGAAGCGGAACCUGGAUAGCGGAGGCAACAAGAGCGUCCUGAUGGACCGUCUCAAGAAGGCAAUUGAAGAUGAAGGGGGUAAUCCUGAUGAAAUUGAAAUCACUUCCGAAGGAAGCAAGAAAACAACUCCAAAGAGACCCAGCAAAGCAGGACGAAAAAUGGAAGAAGAAGGUGCUGAAGAUAAUGGACUGGAGGAAAACUCUGGAGAUGAACAGGAAGAUGUUGAAACAAGUUUGGAUAAUUUUCGAGAUAUUGACAUGAUGGAUAUCAGUGUCUUAGAUGAAGCCGAAAUAGAUAAUGGGAGUGCUGUAGAUUGCGGAGAGGACUACAGUGCUGAUAAUAUUCUUGACUCCCUAUCUGAUAGUAAAGAAAAUGCUGAUGCAGAAAUGAAGGAAUUUCCAGAUCAGCUUACAGAACAUGCUGUGGCAGACAAGGAAAGUGUAAACAAUUUAGAUACUUCAUCAUCUGACUUCACUGUGGUACAGGAGAUUGAGGAUCCAUCCUUGGAGCCAGAAAAUGAGAAAAUACUCGACAUUUUGGGGGAAACUUGUAAGUCUGACCCACUAAAAGAAGAAGGUUCCGACCUGGAGCAGCCAUUUUCACAAGAUGCAAGUAGCGUGGGGCCAAGCAAAAAGCUUGCAGAGGAAGAGGACAAUUUUGUCACCGCUCAUCCAGAGGAGGAUGCAUUAGAUUUGGACAACGAGUCAACACAAGCAAUUGCCAAGAAGGCAGAAAAGCACUUAGAUCUAGUGAAAAGGGAGAAAAGCGAGCAGAAAGUAGAUGAAGAGAAUAUGGACUCUGACACUGUAGUGGUAGAGAACCUAAAUGAUCAGAGUAGCAAAGCAUCAGAAAAUACAGAAGCUUCUAGCGAGGAAGCCCAGGAAACACCAGAGAAAGUCUCAAGCCCCGAAACCAAAGAAAGCAAAGAAGACGUUAAGAAAAGUGAAGAUGAAGGUUAUAAUGAAGAUUCACCUGCUACUAAAGAGUCCUCUACCAAUGAGGGCGGUGAUCAGAAAAUGAGCUCUAUUGAAGAGGACUCAGAUACCAAAAGAGUCUCCAAAGAUGAAAAAGGUCAUACCACUAGCAGUUGUGGUAGAAAUUUUUGGGUUAGUGGACUUUCUUCUACUACCAGAGCUAUAGAUUUGAAGAAUCUUUUCAGCAAAUAUGGAAAGGUGGUUGGUGCCAAGGUAGUCACUAAUGCUCGAAGUCCUGGGGCUCGGUGUUAUGGUUUUGUCACAAUGUCCACAUCUGAGGAAGCAACAAAAUGUAUUAACCAUCUUCAUAAGACAGAGCUUCAUGGGAAAAUGAUCUCAGUAGAAAAAACAAAAAAUGAACCUGCUGGGAAGAAAACUUCAGAUAAGAGAGAAGGUGAUGGAAAGAGAGAGAAAUCAACUAACAGUGACAGAUCUACCAACAUAAAAAGAGAUGAUAAAAUGGACAAAAAAGAUGACAAUAGAAAAGAAGAUGGAAGUGAUGAGAAGGAUAAAGAUGAACAGAAAUCUGGAUCUGAUCGAACUAGAACUACUAAGUCAGGAAGUCGAGGUACAGAGAGAACUGUAGUAAUGGACAAAUCCAAAGGAGAGCCUGUUAUUAGUAUAAAAACAAGUGGAGGAAAAGAGGGAGUCUCAAAGAGCCAAGAUCGUAAAUCUGCCAGUAGAGAAAAACGGUCUGUUGUGUCAUUUGAUAAGUCCAGAGACCAGCGGAAGAUGAGAGAUUCAGAGUCUCGAAGAGCAUGUGAGUGGAGUGAGAGAGAAGAAAGAAUUCAAGCCUUACAGGAACGAGAAGAAAGAGAACGUCUGGAAAUAGCCCGUGAGAGACUUGCUGUUCAGAGACAACGACUAGAAAGAGAAAGAAUGGAAAGAGAGCGACUGGAGAGGGAAAGGAUGCAUAUAGAAUAUGAGAGGCGCAGAGAACAGGAGCGAAUUCAUAGGGAAAGGGAAGAACUCCGCCGACAGCAAGCACUUCGUUAUGAACAAGGAAGACGACCUGCAAUCAGACGCCCUUAUGAUGUGGAUGGCAGGCGGGAUGAUUCUUAUUGGCCAGAAGGAAAGAGAGCAGCACUGGAUGAUCGAUACCAUUCUGAAUUUAGCCGUCAAGAUCGCUUCCAUGAUUUUGAUCAUAGAGAUCGUGGGCGGUACCAGGAUCAUUCAGUGGACAGGAGAGAAAGUUCAAGAUCAAUGAUGGGAGAUAGAGAUGGACAGCAUUAUCCAGAACGCCGUGGAGGACCAGAUCGCCGUGGACGGGAAUCCCGAGAUGAAUGGAGCAGUUAUGGAUCUGAGAAGAGAAUGAGCAAAGGAAGAGGGCUUCCUCCUCCACCCAGGGGACGAGAUUGGGGAGACCAUGGUCGAAGGCUAGAUGACCACCAAGAUCGCUCAUGGCAAGGAAAUGUAGAUGGAGGAAUGAUGGGUCGAGAUCAUGAGAGAUGGCAAGAUGAGAUGGAGAGAAGUUAUUAUUGCCUGAUGUCACACAGUGGUGAGAGAAGUAUGUCUGGUCACUCUGGACCAGGCCAUGUGAUGAAUCGAGGAGGGAUGUCGGGUCUUCAUCCUCUUUGACCUCUGCAACUUGGGCCACUUUUGGGAAGUAUUUUGAAGUGGAAGUACUGGGUUGCAAAACCCAGUUCAAGUCAAGAAUUUAUUAAGUACUAUAUGCCAGGCACCAGGCUAAACUCUGAAGAUAAAAGAAAAGCAAAAAUAGUCCUCACAUUCUAAUGGGGGAUGCAGCAUGCAUGAGACCAAGGAGAUACUUGAGGGUCCACAGAGCCCUUGUCCAGACCUCCUUGUUGUGGGCCAGGAAAAGGAAUCGCUUCCUUGUCUGGGGAAGAUGCGGACGGUCACCGGGCAGGACGGUCACUGGGCAGGAUGGGUCCCCGACACCAGCGGAUCUCCCGGACAUUCCAGCUCGGCUGCACAGAGCCCAGCACCAGGGCCAGCCCUGCGGCCUGGAUGCCAGAUGUGUUUGUCUGAGCCCUGGUGCAAAACGAGCCCGAGGCAGGCUCUCACUGGGUCAGGAGCCAUGCAGGGAUACUCCCAGAGUCUCUGAGGAACCUUGGUGGGGGUUAUAAGCCAUGAGGAACGCCGACGCAGGACCCCCUAGCAAAGCUUGCCCGCUCAAAGGGGACACAAGGCGCACAAGUCUAGACCAGGGUGCAGGCUCGACCUCUGGACUGACCAGCCACAGUUGGAGGCGCCCUACCUUGACCCCAACAUCAUGAGGUCUUUGGUCCUGAGCUCCCACCACUCGACCCCCCUUGUCUUAUGAGGUGGAUCACAUGUCCUGGCUGAGAUGAGGGGGCUUCAGAGGAGGCGGCCCGAAUAAUGCAGCCUCAGCUGUGACUCUGUCAGCCAAUCAGAAGCAAUCUGUGUUGUAGUGCUUCUGCUCUAUCGGGCAGAAGGCCAUCGCCCGAUUUACUAGCGACUGCCAGCCUAAUAAAUGGGUCAUGCCGGAA
RNA transcript from Sarcophilus harrisii (Tasmanian devil), 3693 nucleotides. It is a transcript of the gene named scaffold attachment factor B1, with no coding region annotated. The record is from RefSeq and is a predicted model, not a curated record. NCBI's taxonomy places the organism in Eukaryota, Metazoa, Chordata, Mammalia, Dasyuromorphia, Dasyuridae. The transcript has 23 exons.